GUGCAGCAGUCGCGAAAACUUGUCAAUGCACGAAAGUGUGAACGGGCUACCCCGAGUGCCGUCCGCUGAGGAUGGCUUUUCUCUGCUGUAAGAAGGCAGAGGAAUAAGGAGAGGGCAAGUCUGGUGUCAGCCGCCGCGGUAAUACCAGCUCUCCGAGUGGUAGGGAUGAUUAUUGGGCUUAAAGCGUCCGUAGCUGGCCUUUCAAGUCUCUUGUUAAAUCCAGCGAUUCAAUCGUUGGACUGCGGGAGAUACUGUUAGGCUAGGGGGCGGGAGAAGCCGACGGUAUUUCCGGGGUAGGGGUAAAAUCCUAUAAUCCCGGGAAGACCACCAGUGGCGUAGGCGGUCGGCUAGCACGCGCUCGACAGUGAGGGACGAAAGCUGGGGUAGCGAACCGGAUUAGAUACCCGCGUAGUCC
This 415-nucleotide ribosomal RNA is filed under the name uncultured crenarchaeote. Its description in RNAcentral is "partial 16S ribosomal RNA". It matches the Rfam family "Archaeal small subunit ribosomal RNA", at positions 330 to 747 of the family's 1478-position model. Lineage: Archaea; Thermoproteati; Thermoproteota. The record is from RNAcentral.